Heterocephalus glaber (naked mole-rat) is the source of this 1496-nucleotide non-coding RNA. The record is from RefSeq and is a predicted model, not a curated record. NCBI's taxonomy places the organism in Eukaryota, Metazoa, Chordata, Mammalia, Rodentia, Bathyergidae.
CCCUUGUCCGGGUUUGUGAAGUUGUCCUGACGUGGCAGCCGCGUCGUGGCGGCCGGUCGCUUCGCGAGGCCCUCCCGGCGCCCGCCAGCCUGGGCUGCGCCCUAAAGGCCGCGGUCAGCCGGCACACCCGGGUCCGGCCGAGGGGCGAACGGCAGGUUGUGGCAGCUGCUUGGGGUGGGAGCGCCGGACGGACUGUGUUAAGGGAAACUAAUGAUUAGGGAACGGGCAAACUUGAAGGAUGGAACCAAGUCAUCAACUUCUGAAAAUCAGCCCUGGACUUCCCUACAAUUUAUUCUUUUAGCACUAAACCAAAAGGUAUUAAAAUCUUUUUCAUCUCUACUAUCUGCCUGUUAGCCAUUUUACCAGCACAGUCCUGGGCCUGUAGUAGACACCCUAUAAAUAUUUGUUGGAUGAAAGAAAACUGUAAUAUCCCUCAGAAAAUGAUUAGCAAAGGAAGGACUAAAACUCCUGUCCUUCCCUCCACCUCACACCAUGUGGACAGCAUGUCCAGCUUUGCUGAGGCUGAAUGAGCCAGGGCUGUGAUUGGCACCAUUUUGGAAAUCUGGUCCGAAAGGUUCUAAAGAAUAAUGCAGUAAAAAGAAAUCACCUGUCUGUAUAAAGUGAUUUAUAGAGAUGUGUACUGAGGAAAAAAUGUUGAUUUAGGAAGUACAGCCGUGGUAAUAGAAAUUUUUAGCCAUGGAGAUCAUCAGUCAAAACUUGGAGAACCAACAUGAGGAAAACUAAUCAAAAAGUGCUGAUUACCAGCACCAACAGACUCAGCAAUACCACAAUAAAUUCAAAUAUUCUAUUCAUCUACAAGCAUUAAGUUCUCUUUCAAGAUACCAUACAAUAGCAAGGGUGAUCAAUGCAUCAGGUUUACAUGGGACUUUCGCAGCACUGAAGGUCUCCUGACCCAGCCACUCUAAAAAGCACCCAACUUCAACAUGAUGAGAUUAAACAAUCCUUGUGUUUUGAAGAUUUAAGGGUGCCUGAAGGCUAAAUAGAAAAUACCACCUAGCCUCAAUGUCGUAUGAGUUCUGUUCCCUCCUUUACUUGGGGAGAACAAAGGGUCACUCAAGUCACCUAUGGCCUUCUAGCAGGGUGGACCAAGGAGGAGGCCACCACCUUCAAUGCAGGCUGUGGAGUCCUUUUCCUGGUCAGAGAUAACCUGGCAAGGAUGUCCCAACAUGCAGAAAGAAGCAAAGGCCCAGGGAGGGACAUCUGGUUCUAUUUCCACCCUUGCAAUACCAGCUGCACCACUAGGGGCAACAGGAUCUCUGGCCUGAGGCCUGCCCACCCCUGGCCCACCUCCAGUAUGCCAGCCAAGGUGAGCUGGGACUAACGUUCACUUCCACAGUGGGCAGCCCUCGCCCACGUUCAACAGCAACAAAGGCAGUAUGAAUUGAAAGGCUUCCUUUAAACCACAACAAAAAAUUACCUUUUCUUUCAAAGCUUUCCUCUCUGACAAAGCAAACGAGAGCCAGGAACUUUGUCAC